GGAUUGCAGUCUGCAACCCGACUACAUGAAGCUGGAAUCGCUAGUAAUCGCGGAUCAGAAUGCCGCGGUGAAUACGUUCCCGGGUCUUGUACACACCGCCCGUCACACCAUGGGAGUCGGAAAUGCCCGAAGUCUGUGACCUAACCGUAAGGAAGGAGCAGCCGAAGGCAGGUCGGAUGACUGGGGUGAAGUCGUAACAAGGUAAC
This 206-nucleotide ribosomal RNA is filed under the name uncultured bacterium. RNAcentral's name for it is "partial 16S ribosomal RNA". It matches the Rfam family "Bacterial small subunit ribosomal RNA", at positions 1295 to 1500 of the family's 1533-position model. The record is from RNAcentral.